UGGUUCUGGCAUCGAUGAAGAACGCAGCGAAAUGCGAUAAGUAAUGUGAAUUGCAGAAUUCAGUGAAUCAUCGAAUCUUUGAACGCACAUUGCGCCCGGCAGUAUUCUGCCGGGCAUGCCUGUUCGAGCGUCAUUUCAACCCUCAAGCCCCCGGGCUUGGUGUUGGAGAUCGGCCCGCCCCCGUGGCUGGCCGGCUCCGAAAUCUAGUGGCGGUCCCGCUGUAGCUUCCUCUGCGUAGUAGCAAUAUCUCGCACCGGAACGCGACGGAGCCUUGCCGUAAAACCCCCAACUUCUGAAGGUUGACCUCGGAUCAGGUAGGAAUACCCGCUGA
RNAcentral lists this unclassified non-coding RNA (331 nucleotides) under uncultured fungus. RNAcentral's name for it is "partial contains 5.8S ribosomal RNA and internal transcribed spacer 2". The stretch from base 1 to 133 matches the Rfam family "5.8S ribosomal RNA", at positions 22 to 154 of the family's 154-position model. The record is from RNAcentral. Lineage: Eukaryota; Fungi.